GAUGAACGCUGGCGGCGUGCCUAAUACAUGCAAGUCGAGCGAACAGACGAGGAGCUUGCUCCUCUGACGUUAGCGGCGGACGGGUGAGUAACACGUGGAUAACCUACCUAUAAGACUGGGAUAACUUCGGGAAACCGGAGCUAAUACCGGAUAAUAUAUUGAACCGCAUGGUUCAAUAGUGAAAGACGGUUUUGCUGUCACUUAUAGAUGGAUCCGCGCCGCAUUAGCUAGUUGGUAAGGUAACGGCUUACCAAGGCAACGAUGCGUAGCUGACCUGAGAGGAGGAUGAGCAACACUGGACCUGAGACACGGUCCAGCCUCCUACGGGAGGAAGCAGUGGGGAAUUUUCGGCAAUGGCGGAAAGCCUGCCGAAGCAAGGCCGGGUGAGUGAUGAAGGUCUCCGGACCGUAAAACUCUUUUAUUAGGGAAGAACAAAUGUGUAAGUAACUAUGCACGUCUUGACGGUACCUAAUCAGAAAGCCACGGCUAACUACGUG
RNAcentral lists this ribosomal RNA (497 nucleotides) under uncultured bacterium. RNAcentral describes it as "partial 16S ribosomal RNA". It matches the Rfam family "Bacterial small subunit ribosomal RNA", at positions 28 to 507 of the family's 1533-position model. The record is from RNAcentral.